AUAUGGCGACAGUAUGCCCUGCUGUAUGGUGACGGCCACAGCUCCAACCCAGAAAACGACGACAAGGCACUGCAGUUCCUGUCCAAGGCCCAUCGCUGUGAGGUUCAGGGAGGCGGUUGGGAGAAAGAACCUGCUCUCUUCAAGGAGGUGAUCAAACAAGCUGUCCACAUGGGAGAAGUGGCACUCAGUUGCAGUGU
Molecule: non-coding RNA, 197 nt
Organism: Maylandia zebra (zebra mbuna)
Lineage: Eukaryota; Metazoa; Chordata; Actinopteri; Cichliformes; Cichlidae
Source: RefSeq, a predicted model, not a curated record